Molecule: ribosomal RNA, 253 nt
Filed under: uncultured bacterium
Lineage: Bacteria
Description: partial 16S ribosomal RNA
Rfam family: Bacterial small subunit ribosomal RNA
Source: RNAcentral
UACGAAGGGGGCGAGCGUUGUUCGGAUUUACUGGGCGUAAAGGGCGCGUAGGCGGCCCUCCUUGUCGCGUGUGAAAGCCCCGGGCUCAACCUGGGAAUUGCGCGCGAAACGGGGGGGCUUGAGUUCGGGAGAGGAGCGUGGAAUUCCCAGUGUAGAGGUGAAAUUCGUAGAUAUCAGGAGGAACACCGAUUGCGAAGGCAGCUCGCUGGGACGUAACUGACGCUGAGACGCGAAAGCGUGGGGAGCAAACAGG